RNAcentral lists this ribosomal RNA (253 nucleotides) under uncultured bacterium. RNAcentral describes it as "partial 16S ribosomal RNA". It matches the Rfam family "Bacterial small subunit ribosomal RNA", at positions 524 to 776 of the family's 1533-position model. The record is from RNAcentral.
UACGUAGGGUGCAAGCGUUAAUCGGAAUUACUGGGCGUAAAGCGUGCGCAGGCGGUGAUGUAAGACAGAUGUGAAAUCCCCGGGCUCAACCUGGGAACUGCAUUUGUGACUGCAUCGCUGGAGUGCGGCAGAGGGGGAUGGAAUUCCGCGUGUAGCAGUGAAAUGCGUAGAUAUGCGGUGGAACACCGAUGGCGAAGGCAAUCCCCUGGGCCUGCACUGACGCUCAUGCACGAAAGCGUGGGGAGCAAACAGG